RNAcentral lists this ribosomal RNA (429 nucleotides) under Bacteroidota bacterium. Its description in RNAcentral is "Bacteroidetes bacterium partial 16S ribosomal RNA". It matches the Rfam family "Bacterial small subunit ribosomal RNA", at positions 355 to 776 of the family's 1533-position model. The record is from RNAcentral. Lineage: Bacteria; Pseudomonadati; Bacteroidota.
UAGGGAAUCUUCCGCAAUGGACGCAAGUCUGACGGAGCAACGCCGCGUGAGUGAAGAAGGAUUUCGGUUCGUAAAACUCUGUUGUUAGAGAAGAACAGCGCAUAGAGUAACUGUUAUGCGUGUGACGGUAUCUAACCAGAAAGCCACAGCUAACUACGUGCCAGCAGCCGCGGUAAUACGUAGGUGGCAAGCGUUGUCCGGAUUUAUUGGGCGUAAAGCGAGCGCAGGCGGUCAAUUAAGUCUGAUGUGAAAGCCCCCGGCUCAACCGGGGAGGGUCAUUGGAAACUGGUUGACUUGAGUGCAGAAGAGGAGAGUGGAAUUCCAUGUGUAGCGGUGAAAUGCGUAGAUAUAUGGAGGAACACCGGUGGCGAAAGCGGCUUUCUGGUCUGUAACUGACGCUGAGGCUCGAAAGCGUGGGGAGCGAACAGG